UACGGGGGGAGCAAGCGUUGUUCGGAUUUACUGGGCGUAAAGGGCGCGUAGGCGGCCACCGCAAGUCGUCUGUGAAGUCUCCGGGCUUAACCCGGGAACUGCGUCCGAUACUGGAAGGCUUGAAUCCGGGAGAGGGAUGCGGAAUUCCAGGUGUAGCGGUGAAAUGCGUAGAUAUCUGGAGGAACACCGGUGGCGAAGGCGGCAUCCUGGACCGGCAUUGACGCUGAGGCGCGAAAGCCAGGGGAGCAAACGGG
Molecule: ribosomal RNA, 254 nt
Filed under: uncultured bacterium
Lineage: Bacteria
Description: partial 16S ribosomal RNA
Rfam family: Bacterial small subunit ribosomal RNA
Source: RNAcentral